CCACGUGGCAGAGAGUGGCCA
Molecule: non-coding RNA, 21 nt
Filed under: Arabidopsis thaliana (thale cress)
Lineage: Eukaryota; Viridiplantae; Streptophyta; Magnoliopsida; Brassicales; Brassicaceae
Source: RNAcentral